AUGCAAGAUCAGGUCGGCCUGGACCUGCACGACUUCCCGCUCGACCACGAGUUUCUGAAGGACUACAACCUCGAGGAAGAGGAUGAGUUGGACAAAGACGGGGAGUCUUUGUUUGAGGACGAGCUCGCCAAGCAAGCCGGCUGGGUGAAGCCAAAGCGCAAGAGCAUGCGGACGAAUGCAUACACGGCGGCCAAGGACAAGCUCCUUUGUUAGUGUUAGAGGGACAUUGUGCAAGACCCCAAGACCGUCCAACAGAAGGCAUCAACCCUUUGGACUCGUGUCCAUCGCGAGUUCCAUGAACGCAAGAAGUUUUCGCCGUACCAAAUGCAAAUCAUGCGCGGGUGGUUGUCCAUUUCGAAGCGAUCGAAGGUGAUCCAACAAGAAUGCGACAAGUUUUCUGCCACUCUUGAGAGCAUCAAGGCACGCCCCGUGAGCGGCAUCAGCAUGCAAUACACGGUAUGCGUGCAAGCGCCCCUCUUUGUGUCAUUCUGUUUAUGCUUGCAUGUCCAUUUCCAUAUCCAUUUGCCAAUAUGCUUGCAUGCAAUUCAUUUGUAG
RNAcentral lists this ribosomal RNA (555 nucleotides) under Triticum aestivum (bread wheat). RNAcentral describes it as "partial small subunit ribosomal RNA". Lineage: Eukaryota; Viridiplantae; Streptophyta; Magnoliopsida; Poales; Poaceae. The record is from RNAcentral.